GAAAGGUGCCGAUCCUAUGCCGAUCCAUUCUCUCUGGGAUUAUAGGCAUGUGCCACUGCACCUGGCUCCAAAUGCCUUUUAUUGCUGAUUUGUUUUUUAGGCCACUGUGUAAUCACACCCUGUACUGGCGGUUUUGUCUCUUUAAUCUUUUUUAAUCUAGGACAGCUCCACUACUUUUCCCCCCAAUCAUUUUGAUCUUUUGAAGGGACCAAGCUGGUUGUUUUAUAGAACUGUCCUACAUCCUGGAUUUAUCAGAUUGUUUCCUGGUGGUGUCGUUUACUUGGUCUUCUGUUAUCUAGAUGUCCUGUAAACUAGAAGUUGGGUCAAACAGCUUGAAUGAGGUUCAGGUAAAACAUUUUUAGCAAAAAUACAGCAGAGGUGAUGCUGGGUACCUCUUGUGAUGUCACAAGGAACCUACUGUUAGAGUGUCUCAUGAUAGGUUAAUGAUGCUGAAUUUGACCAUGGGUUAAGGUAGUGGCUACCACGUCUCUCCAUUGGAAGCUCUUCCUACCCUAUUAAUUAUAUUGUGUAUUAGUCCAUUUUCUGUUGCUAAUAACAAUACCAUACACUGGAAAAAUUAUAAAGAAAAAAGGUUCGUUUGUGCUCACAGUUCUAGAUGUGCAAGAUCAAGAAGCCACAUUUGCUUUUUUUGGCUUUCUUGCUGGCAGUGUCCCAAGGUGGUAUAAGGCAUCAUAUGUCAAGAGACAGAGAGGCACUGGAAUGUAGCUCAGUGAUACAGCACUUGCCUAAGCACAUGCAUAAGGUCCUUGGUUCCAUUCCCAGCACCAUACAGAGAGAGAGAGAGAGAGCGAGCGUGCCUGGCGCAGCAGCGUACACCUAUAAUCCCAGAUAAUCAGGAGAAUCAAAAGUUUGUGUCCAACCUCAGCAACUUAGUGAGGUCCUAAAAAAAGAGAGACAGACAUGCAUACAUGUCUGUGUGCCACCAGCGUUCAAUCAUUCAGGCUCUACACUGAUGACUUUAUCUAAUCCUAAUCACCUCCCAAAAGCCCGAUCUCUAAACAUCAUAGAUUAAGUUUCCCC
RNAcentral lists this long non-coding RNA (1041 nucleotides) under Marmota monax (woodchuck). Lineage: Eukaryota; Metazoa; Chordata; Mammalia; Rodentia; Sciuridae. The record is from RNAcentral.